UNGGGUGCUUCUGAUUUGCAAACCACUGGU
Molecule: non-coding RNA, 30 nt
Filed under: Mus musculus (house mouse)
Lineage: Eukaryota; Metazoa; Chordata; Mammalia; Rodentia; Muridae
Source: RNAcentral